RNAcentral lists this ribosomal RNA (791 nucleotides) under uncultured bacterium. Its description in RNAcentral is "bacterial SSU rRNA". It matches the Rfam family "Bacterial small subunit ribosomal RNA", at positions 8 to 796 of the family's 1533-position model. The record is from RNAcentral.
AGAGUUUGAUCAUGGCUCAGAUUGAACGCUGGCGGCAUGCCUUACACAUGCAAGUCGAACGGCAGCGCGGGGGCAACCCUGGCGGCGAGUGGCGAACGGGUGAGUAAUACAUCGGAACGUGUCCUGGAGUGGGGGAUAGCCCGGCGAAAGCCGGAUUAAUACCGCAUACGCUCUGUGGAGGAAAGCGGGGGAUCGCAAGACCUCGCGCUCAAGGGGCGGCCGAUGGCGGAUUAGCUAGUUGGUGGGGUAAAGGCCUACCAAGGCGACGAUCCGUAGCUGGUCUGAGAGGACGACCAGCCACACUGGGACUGAGACACGGCCCAGACUCCUACGGGAGGCAGCAGUGGGGAAUUUUGGACAAUGGGGGAAACCCUGAUCCAGCAAUGCCGCGUGUGUGAAGAAGGCCUUCGGGUUGUAAAGCACUUUUGUCCGGAAAGAAAUCCUGAUGGCUAAUAUCCGUUGGGGAUGACGGUACCGGAAGAAUAAGCACCGGCUAACUACGUGCCAGCAGCCGCGGUAAUACGUAGGGUGCGAGCGUUAAUCGGAAUUACUGGGCGUAAAGCGUGCGCAGGCGGUUCGCUAAGACCGAUGUGAAAUCCCCGGGCUUAACCUGGGAACUGCAUUGGUGACUGGCGGGCUAGAGUAUGGCAGAGGGGGGUAGAAUUCCACGUAGCAGUGAAAUGCGUAGAGAUGUGGAGGAAUACCGAUGGCGAAGGCAGCCCCCUGGGCCAAUACUGACGCUCAUGCACGAAAGCGUGGGGAGCAAACAGGAUUAGAUACCCCCGUAGUCC